UGGGGAAUAUUGCACAAUGGGGGAAACCCUGAUGCAGCGACGCCGCGUGAACGAAGAAGGUAUUCGUAUCGUAAAGUUCUGUCCUAUGGGAAGAUAAUGACAGUACCAUAGAAGAAAGCUCCGGCUAAAUACGUGCCAGCAGCCGCGGUAAUACGUAUGGAGCGAGCGUUGUCCGGAAUUAUUGGGCGUAAAGGGUACGCAGGCGGUUUAAUAAGUCGAAUGUUAAAGAUCGGGGCUCAACCCCGUAAAGCAUUGGAAACUGAUAAACUGGAGUAGUGGAGAGGAAAGUGGAAUUCCUAGUGUAGUGGUGAAAUACGUAGAUAUUAGGAGGAAUACCAGUAGCGAAGGCGACUGUCUGGACACAAACUGACGCUGAGGUACGAAAGCGUGGGGAGCAAACAGG
This 403-nucleotide ribosomal RNA is filed under the name bacterium. Its description in RNAcentral is "partial 16S ribosomal RNA". It matches the Rfam family "Bacterial small subunit ribosomal RNA", at positions 355 to 776 of the family's 1533-position model. The record is from RNAcentral.